AAGUGAGGCAAUGCCUCGCCCUGCUUCAGCUUAGGCACGGUGCGCGCGCCCACUGACCUGAGCCCACUGUCUGACACUCCCUAGUGAGAUGAACCCGGUACCUCAGAUGGAAAUGCGGAAAUCACCCUUCUGCAUCGCUCACGCUGGGAGCUGUAGACCGGAGCUGUUCCUGUUCGGCCAUCUUGGCUCCUCCCCUGCACUUUUCAAAUAAGAGACCUGGGGGAUUUUAGAACAGGGCUUUCAAGGUAAUGAAGGAAGAGAAUCUUCUUUGGACUUCUUUUUGCUCCAGAUGCGGAGAAGGCAACUUCCCGGAGUCUCUACCAGUGAGAAGGCUACAGAAUCACGGGCAGAUAAGGUCUGGCUCUGUGGCCAUAGCUCACUGCAGCCUCAAAUUCCUGCGCUCAAGUAAUCCUCCCACCUCAGCUUCCCAAGUAGAUGGGAAUACAGAUAACAUUCUUCUACCAGGAAGAGGGAGAUUGACUAUUUUAUCAGUCAUUAAUUUUGCUCCAAAUAACCCCGUGAUUUUGGAUGAUUGAUUAUGGGAAUGCUG
RNAcentral lists this long non-coding RNA (550 nucleotides) under Pan troglodytes (chimpanzee). RNAcentral describes it as "lincRNA". The record is from RNAcentral. Lineage: Eukaryota; Metazoa; Chordata; Mammalia; Primates; Hominidae.